UACGGGGGGGGCAAGCGUUGUUCGGAAUUACUGGGCGUAAAGGGCUCGUAGGUCGCCAACUAAGUCAGACGUGAAAUCCCUCGGCUUAACCGGGGAACUGCGUCUGAUACUGGAUGGCUUGAGUUUGGGAGAGGGACGCGGAAUUCCAGGUGUAGCGGUGAAAUGCGUAGAUAUCUGGAGGAACACCGGUGGCGAAGGCGGCGUCCUGGACCAACACUGACACUGAGGAGCGAAAGCCAGGGGAGCGAACAGG
RNAcentral lists this ribosomal RNA (253 nucleotides) under uncultured bacterium. Its description in RNAcentral is "partial 16S ribosomal RNA". It matches the Rfam family "Bacterial small subunit ribosomal RNA", at positions 524 to 776 of the family's 1533-position model. The record is from RNAcentral.